Molecule: long non-coding RNA, 1354 nt
Filed under: Mus musculus (house mouse)
Lineage: Eukaryota; Metazoa; Chordata; Mammalia; Rodentia; Muridae
Description: Pvt1 oncogene
Rfam family: Pvt1 oncogene conserved region 1 (bases 17-173)
Source: RNAcentral
AGAGCGCGUGUGGCCGCCGAGCACAUGGACCCACUGGUCAAGCGGGCUCGGCAAGGCCAGGAUGAAGAGAAGCUACGAACUUAGCAUUCCCAGAGCCCCCCGAGUGGAUAUCCGCGUGGAAAGGAUGUUGGCAGCCCCGGUGACCUCGGAGUCACGGCUGGAUCCACCCUCUUGUCUGAUUUUCUUAACUCUACUACGGUAAGAAGAUGCCCUCCAUCAGCAGGCCGUGUCUGCUGGGACCUCUCUGGAGACUUCCUGAACCCUGUGGAUUUACAGUAAGAUGCAGUUUCCUGGGGAGUAAUUCUGGUGGAUACAAAUUCCGGAGUAUUACACCUGGCUUGCCUGGAGAUGUUACAAGUAGCUGGAUGGAUUCUUCAGCCUGGAUGCCCACUGAAAACAAGGACCGAAACUAAGAGGAUUGUAUCUCUACCCUUGACUCAAUGAGAAUGUUUGUUGUCAUCUCUCGGGCUACCUGGAGCUCCCUCUAAAAUAGAGCCGAGUUCUGUCACCACAGACAUUGGCAGUGGCACUUGCAUGCCCCUGGCAAGCAGUCUAUCCUGAGGUGGAGGAAGUUGCCCUUGAGUUCUGGCUGGUAACCAGCACAGAUGUGAAGCGUUGACUUAAGAGAUGCCAAGUAACUCAGCAGAUGUCACACAGACGAUAAAUAGCAAAGAUGGAAGUCUUCAUGCCGGAGGCAAUCCUAUAAGACAGCUGAGUUCUGCAGAGCUGGUAGGAGACAGACUUGCUCAGGUGAUAGAUCCAGCCAUGAUACUGACCCUAAGAGAAUGAGACGCUCUGCAGAAGACAGAAGAUUCCUGAAACUGGGAAAGGUGCCUAGAAAUCCUGAUAAGAGUGAAGAAGGAGCUGGCAGAGCAGCCUUCCUCCGCACUAUGAAAGACAUCCAACAGAGAGCAAGUUCCCACCUCACUUCCAGCUUGACUCCUUUUUAUCUCCUAACUGUGGUCUGUGAUGUCUUCAGCAAUGGGUACCUGGAGGCACAGCAGCCAUGUUGAACCUAUGAGGUGAUGAAAAACCAUGCAACUAGAAACCAGAAUGGAAGAAAAGAAGAAGCUGGAUCCUUGACUGAAUUGUCGAUGGGGGAUAGUCCAUCAUCCCAGGGCUAAGACCACCUCCAGAUUUCUUGUUUGGUGAAACAAGUCCUGAUUGUUUACAUUCCCUCGUGUUGAGCUGUCUCUUGCUUGUAGCUGAAAGCAUUUCUAAUAGAUAUUCAGAUUAUCAGCCUUAGCUCCAAGCUAGAAUACUCUAUGGGACCUUAGCUUCUCCAUGAAUUCCUUUGCUCAUCUGUGUAAUGCUCAAUAAAUGUAAAUUGAACCCUGAAUGAGGGACAAUGACA